This 560-nucleotide ribosomal RNA is filed under the name Sphenomorphus maculatus. RNAcentral describes it as "partial 16S ribosomal RNA". It matches the Rfam family "Bacterial large subunit ribosomal RNA", at positions 1824 to 2635 of the family's 2925-position model. Lineage: Eukaryota; Metazoa; Chordata; Lepidosauria; Squamata; Scincidae. The record is from RNAcentral.
UACUAUACUCAGUAGAGUAUUAAAGGUACUGCCUGCCCAGUGAAAAUCUUAAACGGCCGCGGUAUUCUAACCGUGCAAAGGUAGCGUAAUCACUUGUCUUCUAAAUAAAGACUAGUAUGAACGGCUAAAUGAGGAUAAGCCUGUCUCCUACAACCUAUCAGUGAAACUGAUCUUUCAGUCCAAAAGCUGAAAUAUAAACACAAGACGAGAAGACCCUGUGGAGCUUAAGAUUAACUAUUAAUAGGUCAAAAGACACCUAAUACAAAAUCUUAAGUUGGGGCGACUUCGGAAAAAAGGAAAACUUCCGAGCAUAGAGACACAACCUCUAACAAAGGCAGACAUGCCAAAGAACAGGUCCGACCCAGUCAUACUGAUCAACGAACCAAGUUACCCCAGGGAUAACAGCGCUAUCUUCUUCAAGAGUCCAUAUCGACAAGAAGGUUUACGACCUCGAUGUUGGAUCAGGACACCCAAAUGGUGCAGCCGCUAUUAAAGGUUCGUUUGUUCAACGAUUAACAGUCCUACGUGAUCUGAGUUCAGACCGGAGAAUCCAGGUCGGU